GUCCUAGCUGUAAACGAUGGAUACUAGAUGUUGUGUAAAAGCAGUGUCGUAGCUAACGCGUUAAGUAUCCCGCCUGGGGAAGUACGCUCGCAAAGAGUGAAACUCAAAGGAAUUGACGGGGGCCCGCACAAGCGGUGGAGCAUGUGGUUUAAUUCGAUGCAACACGAAGAACCUUACCAGGACUUGACAUGAAGAGAAGUUUUCCCAAAAGAAAAUGUGCUACGGCCUCUUACACAGGUGGUGCAUGGCUGUCGU
Molecule: ribosomal RNA, 255 nt
Filed under: uncultured bacterium
Lineage: Bacteria
Description: partial 16S ribosomal RNA
Rfam family: Bacterial small subunit ribosomal RNA
Source: RNAcentral